Molecule: ribosomal RNA, 465 nt
Filed under: uncultured bacterium
Lineage: Bacteria
Description: partial 16S ribosomal RNA
Rfam family: Bacterial small subunit ribosomal RNA
Source: RNAcentral
GACGAACGCUGGCGGCGUGCUUAACACAUGCAAGUCGAACGGUAAGGCUCCGGCUUGCUGGGGUACACGAGUGGCGAACGGGUGAGUAACACGUGGGUGACCUGCCCUGCACUUCGGGAUAAGCCUGGGAAACUGGGUCUAAUACCGGAUAGGACCGCACCGUGAGGGUGUGGUGGAAAGUUUUUUCGGUGUGGGAUGGGCCCGCGGCCUAUCAGCUUGUUGGUGGGGUAAUGGCCUACCAAGGCGGCGACGGGUAGCCGGCCUGAGAGGGUGGACGGCCACAUUGGGACUGAGACACGGCCCAGACUCCUACGGGAGGCAGCAGUGGGGAAUAUUGCACAAUGGGCGGAAGCCUGAUGCAGCGACGCCGCGUGGGGGAUGACGGCCUUCGGGUUGUAAACUCCUUUCACCAUCGACGAAGGGUUUCUGACGGUAGAUGGAGAAGAAGCACCGGCUAACUACGUG